CUAGACAUCUACAAAUGUUAUUCAAAUAUGAUCAAAUAUGUAUGACUUAGCAUGGAAAGCAUUGCAGGAGAAAGAUAGAUAACUGGUAUGAUUUGUCCAAUUGUUACACAUGAUGUUCAGAUUUGGGGUCUUUGACCAAACAAACAAACUACAUGCUCCUAUACAUGAUAAAAGACGAAACAGACAAUGGCCUGGGAAGACAAAUGACAGUCGUAUAUGUAUUGUUCAUAUUUAAAAUAAGAAAUGUAGUUAUGUAGACCCGUAAUAUGAAAAUCUUCCACAUACUUUCAAUAAAUU
RNAcentral lists this long non-coding RNA (297 nucleotides) under Mytilus galloprovincialis (Mediterranean mussel). The record is from RNAcentral. Lineage: Eukaryota; Metazoa; Mollusca; Bivalvia; Mytilida; Mytilidae.